GAUCAAUUUCUUCGAAAGACUAUUAUUUACUGCGAGGCGUCUGGACGACAAUAUUCUGAACCAUUGUGAGAGUAUGAACAGAAUUUAAAGUGUGCAUGCUUUUAUUUUCAAAAAUUGGAUUACGUUCUUUCGAGAAUGGGACGUCAGUAUCUAUUCAGGCUCGAAUAAUCAGUUAUACGGUUGAUGAAAGUGUUCUUCUUCAGUACACAUUAAUGUGAGCAGAUAUUAAGGCAUGCGUUUUAUGCACUGAGCUCCAGCUAAGCUUGUGACCUUCUAAUCUCUGUUGGAAUAAGCAAGUGGUCAGGCCUGUCAAGGAACUAGCAGUUGUCUGGGAGAAAAGAUAUCCGGAAUUAUAAGUUGCGGCGGUAGUCGGGAAGACACACCAGUCUCACCCACAGGGGUGUAGAUACUAGAUACUAAAUAUGUGACGGAUCCAUUGGCGAAAUUAACGUCUCUCACCCAUAGCGUGUGUUUGGCUAUCACAUCAUUCACUGCCCUGCUACAAAUGAAGCCCCCAGUGAGGACUAUAGUCGCCAUGGAAGGAACGACAUAGAUCGCCAGCAACAUCCACUUUUGAUGAUUUCUUUGAAGUGACCUUUGUGUGACCUUGGACACUGUCACGUGACAUUUGUGUGUCUAUUGUGACUGGAUAUUGCUACUUCAGCUUGGACAUUCAAUUCAAUUCAUGAAUAUUCUGAUCAUGUGAGUCCCCAUUAUGUAUAAAUUCAUUGUACAAAUGUUACAUCCUUUGCUAGCUAGCAUUUAACUUUAAAUUCACUUUGUACCUGGCACCAGUGCAGUUCAGUUCUGUAAACUGUGACUUUGUUUACGUCACAUAUUUCGUAUUUCGUUCAUGUACAAAGCUUUGUAUUACAGUAGACUUCUUUGUCAGCUACUUCUUAUUAUUCUGUUGGUACCAACAACAUCUACGUAGCUACAAGUUCUUUAUUAUAUCAUGUGUUUAGUUUAGUUUAGUUCAGUUUAGUUCUGUUGGGUAUUGUUACGUUUAGCUUAGCUUAGUUUAUUUUUGUAUAGUUUUAUUUAGUUUGCCAUCAGCUUUUAGUUAGUUUACUUAUAUAACGGUACUCAGUGUGUAUGUGUGUAUGAAAAUGGCUUGAUUUCAUUUCUUCUUUCUCUCCUUGUUUAAUCAAAUAAAAGGUAAGCAAAUAAAAUGUAAUUGUAUAAACAACAUGUAAGCUAAACAUGUCUUAAUUUACUGACUGUAUGACGACAUUUUGUUACAAUCAUCCCCUUCCACUACCUCUGUGUUGUCUGUACAUUUAGUAUUUAGUCACUUCCUUGGUUUGUAAAUACACUUUGUAAGUAUUGUAUUUUCAACUUGGGAUUUGUCGUAUGCCUAGCAUUAUAUUCAAGUAUAUGUACACCUUAUCUUGUGUACACUUGUGUUGCGUUUCUUUCUUUUGUACUGCAUGAUAUAACAGGAAUACUGUUUAAACCGGCCUUAAACCUGCCUUACACCAAACUCACUCACUCUUUAUUCCGUGUGACUAUAUUAUUACACUUUGCCGUCACACGUGCUAUGUUGGGAGGGAUUGCCUUUCAGCUUAGUUUGUGUAUUAGUUGUCUGAACUAGACAUUCCACUUGUUUGUCUUUGUUUGCCCUAGUAGUUGGUACAGGUACUCUGCAAUUUAUUUAAACUUGCAUUAUCCACUUCACUACACACGUGUUCAGUAGAUAUUUUCUAUUUACCGUUCCCAUAGCUGUAUUUCUGCACGAUUGCUGCAUGCAUCACAUUGCUUAUUUCAUGCCUUAGCGCAUGGGUCCUCAGUCAUACCCAUAUAGUUACCUGCCAGUGUGACCCUCUAUAUCACAUGGUACUUCCUACACACUCACCACGCGAUUGGUGUUUCACACAUUUGACUUCCUGGUAUCCUUUGAUAUUCCCUGUUUACCUCGUUGGCACAUGGUCUGCUUUUUGAGCAGUUGUGCUUGUUUUCUUUGCCUACUUCUGCCGCAUUCCUUUACCAUGGAGUUCAAGGAUGAGGAGCUGGAAGGCAUGGCCACACUUUUUAAGAAGUUGGGGAUGCAACCGAAGGCUAACACACCUGAUGAUUUUAAAGCCUGGAUCACGGACAUGUAUUCUCGCCAAGGCCCUCUUACCGGGGAAUAUGAAGAGACAACUGGACAUCCUACUCCACCACAGACACAGGAUGUUAAGCCCGUAGCGGUAGCGUACCAUCAGUUCCCUAAGCUGCCAUUGUUUAGUGGCAAUUUUCAGGGCAAGGAUGUCCCAUUUGACCUUUGGACUUACGAAGUGGAUUGUCUCUUGAAGUCAACGAUCUACACAUCAGAUGUCAUGGAUCAGGCCAUCAGACAUUCCUUGAAGGGAGAGGCAGCCAGAGUAGCAAAGAGGUUAGGAUCCAAGGCUUCAAUACAGGAUUAACUGAACAAACUCUACAGUAUGUAUGGAACUGUUCAGCGCAGAGAAGCUCUCGGCUCAGUUUUAUAGCGCUUCUCAGGGUGAAGUUGAAGAUGUUGCUACUUGGGGAUGCCGUUUGGAACACUUGCUUUCCAAAGUCACGGAUCACCACGCUAUUCCUUUUCAAGAACAGGAUGACAUGCUGAGGAAUAUGUUGUGGAGUGGUCUUAGGCCAUCAUUGAAGAAUGUGUCCGGCCAUAAGUUUGAUUCUGUCUCCUCUUUUGAUGGACUUUUGAUUUGAGUAUGACAUGAAGCAAGGAAGGGAUCCAACACCAUCACCUAGGAAUAGGAUUGCUACUGCCAAGAUGGCCUCCGAGUCUGAUACAGUGACUAAGAAAGAUAUUGAUAGUCUGACUUCUGCUAUCCAACAUUUGCAAAGUCAGGUUUCAGAUCUGAAGACCAAGCAACAGGCUAUCACCCCUAGUCAACAGAGGGGCAGACGCCGAGGCAAUCUGUCAUUUACCUCUCAGGAAGUGAUUGCACCACCCCAAGGAGCUAUCCCAUAUGGAUCCUUCUCACCCCACAGCUUGGAUCAAGGACCAGAUGAUAGAGUCUACGCACCACAAGGUAUUGGAGCUACUGCAAACCCUUACUACAGAGGUACAAGAGUAAACCAUAGAGGACAGAGACCUACACUCCCUACAUCUGGUGCACAGAGGAACCCGUAUCCACCACAACCUGAGAAGGAUUAUCCUUAUUCUACUAGUUCUCAGGAAGUUACAUGCUUCAGAUGUGGUUACCCAGGACACAUUGCCAUUGGAUGUCGAGUUCGUCUGGACCAUCUUCGUCGCCCUUUAAACUGGCAAGGGUCUGCGGGCAGGGGUCACCACUAGACUUACUUCAGAACCCCAACAGAGUACCUGAAGGAUUAGUUGGUCAAGCAAAUGAAGAUAACAUCAUGCUUGAUGGUAAGCCAGUUCGAGCUUUACUUGACACAGGGGCCACAGUGUCCAUCAUAUCUGAGUCCUUUUAUGAGGAACAGUUACAGCACAUUGAACUGGAGCCACUCGGUAAUAUUUUGGACAUUGAGUGUGCGGGCGGCGAGACUUUACCAUAUAAGGGGUUUAUUAAAGUGGAUGUAUCCAUCACUGGAGGAGGUGUUGAUGUGGAUGCUGUUCCAUGUUUAUUCCUUAUAGUACCAAGUACCAGAUACAGUGCCCGUGUACCGGUACUUCUAGGAACUAACAUCUUGAACUGCUUAUUGGACAAUUGCCGGAACCAGCAUGGAACUACUUUACACUUAGAUAAUAUAGUUUAUGAAUAGAUACUCUAUUGGGUUCUUACAUCAGUCAGCAGAUCAUUGUACAGUGUAACAACUAAUAUAUGAAUAAGAUGUGUUUGUAAUGUAAACUGGUUUAGUAAUACUGUGAUGUCGAUGAUUGCAUUAUGUAUAUUGUUAAUAUUACUUAUCAUUCCUUUAAUAUGUUUCAGGGUGUAGAUACUAGAUACUACAUAUUAGAUAGAUAAAUAUGUGACCGAUCCAUUGGCGAAAUAAACGUCUGUCACCCAUAGCGUGUGUUUGGCUAUCAAAUCAUUCACUGCCCUGCUGCACAGAUAUCAGGUCCUUUCCUUAAUUCAUACAUCUUAUCUCGUAUAUUUGCACUUGUACAUACAGUCCUUAUCUGGAGCCAUGUAGC
Long non-coding RNA from Haliotis rufescens (red abalone), 4078 nucleotides. RefSeq lists it as uncharacterized. The transcript is spliced from 3 exons. The record is from RefSeq and is a predicted model, not a curated record. Lineage: Eukaryota; Metazoa; Mollusca; Gastropoda; Lepetellida; Haliotidae.